ACGCUCGACACCUACGAGGCAGCAGUGGGGAAUAUUGCACAAUGGGGGAAACCCUGAUGCAGCGACGCCGCGUGGAGGAAGAAGGUCUUCGGAUUGUAAACUCCUGUUGUUGGGGAAAAAGAGGAUGGUACCCAACAAGGAAGUGACGGCUAACUACGUACCAGCAGCCGCGGUAAUCUGAGCGGGCUGGCAAGGC
RNAcentral lists this ribosomal RNA (196 nucleotides) under uncultured bacterium. Its description in RNAcentral is "partial 16S ribosomal RNA". It matches the Rfam family "Bacterial small subunit ribosomal RNA", at positions 326 to 539 of the family's 1533-position model. The record is from RNAcentral.